CAGUAGCCGCGGGAAUACAGAGGGUGCGAGCGUUAAUCGGAUUUACUGGGCGUAAAGCGUGCGUAGGCGGCUAAUUGAGUCGGAUGUGAAAUCCCUGAGCUUAACUUGGGAAUUGCAUUCGAUACUGGUUAGCUAGAGUGUGGGAGAGGAUGGUAGAAUUCCAGGUGUAGCGGUGAAAUGCGUAGAGAUCUGGAGGAAUACCGAUGGCGAAGGCAGCCAUCUGGCCUAAUACUGACGCUGAGGUACGAAAGCAUGGGGAGCAAACAGGAUUAGAUACCCCGGUAGUCCCUGUCUCUUAUAC
RNAcentral lists this ribosomal RNA (301 nucleotides) under uncultured bacterium. RNAcentral's name for it is "partial 16S ribosomal RNA". It matches the Rfam family "Bacterial small subunit ribosomal RNA", at positions 509 to 807 of the family's 1533-position model. The record is from RNAcentral.